This is a long non-coding RNA of Equus quagga, 697 nucleotides long. RefSeq lists it as uncharacterized. The transcript has 2 exons. The record is from RefSeq and is a predicted model, not a curated record. Lineage: Eukaryota; Metazoa; Chordata; Mammalia; Perissodactyla; Equidae.
ACCACCGGCGGGCAGCCGGCCGGCCGAGAGAGACGCGCUCGGCGUCCCAGCCCAGCAUCGCCGAGCGAGCGCAGGACGGCUCCGAAGCUGAGACAGUAGCCUAGGGAUCCGCACGUGGACCCUCACAUAUUAAAUGACCACGGCUUUUGCCAAGCGGUGCCAUGUCCACACCCGAGAUCCAAACCGCGAACUCUGGGCCUCCGAGAAGUGGAAACUGCGCACUUAACCGCUGCACCACCGGGCCGGCCCCCAAGUUCUAUUUUUUCUUUAAUUGCUUUUCAAUUGAUUUUCCUGUUUUGUCCAGGUAUAAAAUUAACGGUAUAUGUUAUCAGUAAUAAUAAAUUAUUCCCUCCUGUCUUCUAUUUUCACUAUUUUCUUUCUGUUCUCUGAUUCAAUGGCUGCUAUUGUAAUGGGUUGAUCUCACUCUUCAUUCGCCCGGUGCAGACGUUUUUGUUAGAGACAUAGAUUUAAUUUUCUUAAAGAAUAACACACGCUUUCCUAUUUUAUUAGAAGUUUUGUAAAGUCCAUAAAUUGAUUUUUAACUUUUCAAAUAACUUUGAGGAAUCUAUUGAAAUGAUCACGUUUUUCCUCCCUUGACCUAUGAAUAUGGUGAAUUAUUCCAGUAAAUAUUCUUAAAUUGUUUCACUUUUACAUUUUUGAAAUAAAUCCACCUGGGUAUGGUUUAUUAUUCUUUUAA